RNAcentral lists this ribosomal RNA (521 nucleotides) under uncultured bacterium. Its description in RNAcentral is "partial 16S ribosomal RNA". It matches the Rfam family "Bacterial small subunit ribosomal RNA", at positions 355 to 867 of the family's 1533-position model. The record is from RNAcentral.
UGGGGAAUAUUGCACAAUGGGCGCAAGCCUGAUGCAGCCAUGCCGCGUGUGUGAAGAAGGCCUUCGGGUUGUAAAGCACUUUCAGCGAGGAGGAAGGUGGUGAACUUAAUACGUUCAUCAAUUGACGUUACUCGCAGAAGAAGCACCGGCUAACUCCGUGCCAGCAGCCGCGGUAAUACGGAGGGUGCAAGCGUUAAUCGGAAUUACUGGGCGUAAAGCGCACGCAGGCGGUUUGUUAAGUCAGAUGUGAAAUCCCCGGGCUCAACCUGGGAACUGCAUUUGAAACUGGCAAGCUAGAGUCUCGUAGAGGGGGGUAGAAUUCCAGGUGUAGCGGUGAAAUGCGUAGAGAUCUGGAGGAAUACCGGUGGCGAAGGCGGCCCCCUGGACGAAGACUGACGCUCAGGUGCGAAAGCGUGGGGCAGCAAACAGGAUUAGAUACCCUGGUAGUCCACGCUGUAAACGAUGUCGAUUUGGAGGUUGUGCCCUUGAGGCGUGGNUUCCGGAGCUAACGCGUUAAAUCG